This 111-nucleotide small nucleolar RNA is filed under the name Pan troglodytes (chimpanzee). RNAcentral's name for it is "Small nucleolar RNA U13". It matches the Rfam family "Small nucleolar RNA U13". Lineage: Eukaryota; Metazoa; Chordata; Mammalia; Primates; Hominidae. The record is from Rfam by way of RNAcentral.
AUCAGCCCGCUGUAUUGUAGUUCAUGAGCAUGGUGAUUGGGUGUUCAUGCAGUUGUGUGAGAUAUGCCACCCUUGAACCUGUUACAACAUUGCACAUUCUCAGACCUGAAA